UGGGCUGUAGCCAAGUGGUAAGGCAUCGGAUUUUGAUUCCGACAUGCGUAGGUUCGAUCCCUUCCAGCCCAGCCA
RNAcentral lists this transfer RNA (75 nucleotides) under Exiguobacterium aurantiacum. RNAcentral describes it as "tRNA-Gln". It matches the Rfam family "tRNA". From Rfam's summary of the family: Transfer RNA (tRNA) molecules are approximately 80 nucleotides in length. Their secondary structure includes four short double-helical elements and three loops (D, anti-codon, and T loops). RNAcentral also lists the same sequence under 30 other names. Lineage: Bacteria; Bacillati; Bacillota; Bacilli; Caryophanales. The record is from RNAcentral.